AUAGCUCAGUGGUAGAGUGUGUGCUUAGCAUGCAUGAGGUCCUGGGUUCAAUCUCCAGU
RNAcentral lists this transfer RNA (59 nucleotides) under Camelus bactrianus (Bactrian camel). It matches the Rfam family "tRNA", at positions 7 to 64 of the family's 71-position model. Rfam says of the family: Transfer RNA (tRNA) molecules are approximately 80 nucleotides in length. The record is from Rfam by way of RNAcentral. Lineage: Eukaryota; Metazoa; Chordata; Mammalia; Artiodactyla; Camelidae. RNAcentral also lists the same sequence under 2 other names.